CAAUAGCGUAUAUUAAAGUUGUUGCAGUUAAAAAGCUCGUAGUUGGAUUUCUGGUUGGAGCGACCGGUCGGGCAUUGAUUUGUCUGCACUGGAGUCGGUUCUGGCCAUCCUCUUGGAAAGUGCGUCUGUCAUUAAGUUGUCGGGCGUAUGAUCCAGGUCUUUUACUGUGAAAAAAUUAGAGUGUUUAAAGCAGGCCUUCGCCUUGAAUACAUUAGCAUGGAAUAAUAAGAUAGGACUUUGGUCUAUUUUGUUGGUUUGCAGGCCGAAGUAAUGAUUAAUAGGGAUAGUUGGGGGUAUUUAUAUUCCAAUGUCAGAGGUGAAAUUCUUAGAUUUUUGGAAGAUAAACUUAUGCGAAAGCAUUUACCAAGGAUGUUUUCAUUAA
Molecule: ribosomal RNA, 382 nt
Filed under: uncultured eukaryote
Lineage: Eukaryota
Description: partial 18S ribosomal RNA
Rfam family: Eukaryotic small subunit ribosomal RNA
Source: RNAcentral